Molecule: small nucleolar RNA, 89 nt
Filed under: Chaetomium globosum CBS 148.51
Lineage: Eukaryota; Fungi; Ascomycota; Sordariomycetes; Sordariales; Chaetomiaceae
Description: A. fumigatus snoRNA Afu_264
Rfam family: A. fumigatus snoRNA Afu_264
Source: Rfam by way of RNAcentral
CUCCCUGAUGAUAUAACACUUUACUUUUUUUCUGGUACCUCUUAUGUUAGGGUCCUUCGGGACCCAAUGAAUGAAUCGGACUUCUGAUU